UGGGGAAUAUUGGGGCAAAUGGGGCGAAAGCCUGACCCAGCAACGCCGCGUGAGGGAAGAAGGCCUUCGGUUGUAAACCUCUGUCCUUAGUGACGAAGGAAGUGACGGUAGCUAAGGAGGAAGCCCCGGCUAACUACGUGCCAGCAGCCGCGGUAAUACGUAGGUGGCAAGCGUUGUCCGGAUUUACUGGGUGUAAAGGGCGUGUAGCCGGGUCGGCAAGUCAGAUGUGAAAUCCACGGGCUUAACUCGUGAACUGCAUUUGAAACUGUUGAUCUUGAGUAUCGGAGAGGCAAUCGGAAUUCCUAGUGUAGCGGUGAAAUGCGUAGAUAUUAGGAGGAACACCAGUGGCGAAGGCGGAUUGCUGGACGACAACUGACGGUGAGGCGCGAAAGCGUGGGGAGCAAACA
RNAcentral lists this ribosomal RNA (407 nucleotides) under uncultured Oscillibacter sp. RNAcentral's name for it is "bacterial SSU rRNA". It matches the Rfam family "Bacterial small subunit ribosomal RNA", at positions 355 to 774 of the family's 1533-position model. The record is from RNAcentral. Lineage: Bacteria; Bacillati; Bacillota; Clostridia; Eubacteriales; Oscillospiraceae.